This 497-nucleotide ribosomal RNA is filed under the name uncultured bacterium. RNAcentral describes it as "partial 16S ribosomal RNA". It matches the Rfam family "Bacterial small subunit ribosomal RNA", at positions 28 to 507 of the family's 1533-position model. The record is from RNAcentral.
GACGAACGCUGGCGGCGUGCCUAAUACAUGCAAGUAGAACGCUGAAGAGAGGAGCUUGCUCUUCUUGGAUGAGUUGCGAACGGGUGAGUAACGCGUAGGUAACCUGCCUUGUAGCGGGGGAUAACUAUUGGAAACGAUAGCUAAUACCGCAUAACAAUGGAUGACCCAUGUCAUUUAUUUGAAAGGGGCAAAUGCUCCACUACAAGAUGGACCUGCGUUGUAUUAGCUAGUAGGUGAGGUAACGGCUCACCUAGGCGACGAUACAUAGCCGACCUGAGAGGGUGAUCGGCCACACUGGGACUGAGACACGGCCCAGACUCCUACGGGAGGCAGCAGUAGGGAAUCUUCGGCAAUGGGGGCAACCCUGACCGAGCAACGCCGCGGGAGUGAAGAAGGUUUUCGGAUCGUAAAGCUCGGUUGUAAGUCAAGAACGAGUGUGAGAGUGGAAAGUUCACACUGUGACGGUAGCUUACCAGAAAGGGACGGCUAACUACGUG